RNAcentral lists this ribosomal RNA (2780 nucleotides) under Escherichia coli. Its description in RNAcentral is "partial 23S ribosomal RNA". It matches the Rfam family "Bacterial large subunit ribosomal RNA". The record is from RNAcentral. Lineage: Bacteria; Pseudomonadati; Pseudomonadota; Gammaproteobacteria; Enterobacterales; Enterobacteriaceae.
UUUCGACACACUAUCAUUAACUGAAUCCAUAGGUUAAUGAGGCGAACCGGGGGAACUGAAACAUCUAAGUACCCCGAGGAAAAGAAAUCAACCGAGAUUCCCCCAGUAGCGGCGAGCGAACGGGGAGGAGCCCAGAGCCUGAAUCAGUGUGUGUGUUAGUGGAAGCGUCUGGAAAGGCGCGCGAUACAGGGUGACAGCCCCGUACACAAAAAUGCACAUAUUGUGAGCUCGAUGAGUAGGGCGGGACACGUGGUAUCCUGUCUGAAUAUGGGGGGACCAUCCUCCAAGGCUAAAUACUCCUGACUGACCGAUAGUGAACCAGUACCGUGAGGGAAAGGCGAAAAGAACCCCGGCGAGGGGAGUGAAAAAGAACCUGAAACCGUGUACGUACAAGCAGUGGGAGCCUCUUAAUGGGGUGACUGCGUACCUUUUGUAUAAUGGGUCAGCGACUUAUAUUCUGUAGCAAGGUUAACCGAAUAGGGGAGCCGAAGGGAAACCGAGUCUUAACUGGGCGUUAAGUUGCAGGGUAUAGACCCGAAACCCGGUGAUCUAGCCAUGGGCAGGUUGAAGGUUGGGUAACACUAACUGGAGGACCGAACCGACUAAUGUUGAAAAAUUAGCGGAUGACUUGUGGCUGGGGGUGAAAGGCCAAUCAAACCGGGAGAUAGCUGGUUCUCCCCGAAAGCUAUUUAGGUAGCGCCUCGUGAAUUCAUCUCCGGGGGUAGAGCACUGUUUCGGCAAGGGGGUCAUCCCGACUUACCAACCCGAUGCAAACUGCGAAUACCGGAGAAUGUUAUCACGGGAGACACACGGCGGGUGCUAACGUCCGUCGUGAAGAGGGAAACAACCCAGACCGCCAGCUAAGGUCCCAAAGUCAUGGUUAAGUGGGAAACGAUGUGGGAAGGCCCAGACAGCCAGGAUGUUGGCUUAGAAGCAGCCAUCAUUUAAAGAAAGCGUAAUAGCUCACUGGUCGAGUCGGCCUGCGCGGAAGAUGUAACGGGGCUAAACCAUGCACCGAAGCUGCGGCAGCGACACUAUGUGUUGUUGGGUAGGGGAGCGUUCUGUAAGCCUGUGAAGGUGGCCUGUGAGGGUUGCUGGAGGUAUCAGAAGUGCGAAUGCUGACAUAAGUAACGAUAAAGCGGGUGAAAAGCCCGCUCGCCGGAAGACCAAGGGUUCCUGUCCAACGUUAAUCGGGGCAGGGUGAGUCGACCCCUAAGGCGAGGCCGAAAGGCGUAGUCGAUGGGAAACAGGUUAAUAUUCCUGUACUUGGUGUUACUGCGAAGGGGGGACGGAGAAGGCUAUGUUGGCCGGGCGACGGUUGUCCCGGUUUAAGCGUGUAGGCUGGUUUUCCAGGCAAAUCCGGAAAAUCAAGGCUGAGGCGUGAUGACGAGGCACUACGGUGCUGAAGCGACAAAUGCCCUGCUUCCAGGAAAAGCCUCUAAGCAUCAGGUAACAUCAAAUCGUACCCCAAACCGACACAGGUGGUCAGGUAGAGAAUACCAAGGCGCUUGAGAGAACUCGGGUGAAGGAACUAGGCAAAAUGGUGCCGUAACUUCGGGAGAAGGCACGCUGAUAUGUAGGUGAAGCGACUUGCUCGUGGAGCUGAAAUCAGUCGAAGAUACCAGCUGGCUGCAACUGUUUAUUAAAAACACAGCACUGUGCAAACACGAAAGUGGACGUAUACGGUGUGACGCCUGCCCGGUGCCGGAAGGUUAAUUGAUGGGGUUAGCGGUAACGCGAAGCUCUUGAUCGAAGCCCCGGUAAACGGCGGCCGUAACUAUAACGGUCCUAAGGUAGCGAAAUUCCUUGUCGGGUAAGUUCCGACCUGCACGAAUGGCGUAAUGAUGGCCAGGCUGUCUCCACCCGAGACUCAGUGAAAUUGAACUCGCUGUGAAGAUGCAGUGUACCCGCGGCAAGACGGAAAGACCCCGUGAACCUUUACUAUAGCUUGACACUGAACAUUGAGCCUUGAUGUGUAGGAUAGGUGGGAGGCUUUGAAGUGUGGACGCCAGUCUGCAUGGAGCCGACCUUGAAAUACCACCCUUUAAUGUUUGAUGUUCUAACGUGGGCCCCUUACCGGGGUUGCGGACAGUGUCUGGUGGGUAGUUUGACUGGGGCGGUCUCCUCCUAAAGAGUAACGGAGGAGCACGAAGGUUGGCUAAUCCUGGUCGGACAUCAGGAGGUUAGUGCAAUGGCAUAAGCCAGCUUGACUGCGAGCGUGACGGCGCGAGCAGGUGCGAAAGCAGGUCAUAGUGAUCCGGUGGUUCUGAAUGGAAGGGCCAUCGCUCAACGGAUAAAAGGUACUCCGGGGAUAACAGGCUGAUACCGCCCAAGAGUUCAUAUCGACGGCGGUGUUUGGCACCUCGAUGUCGGCUCAUCACAUCCUGGGGCUGAAGUAGGUCCCAAGGGUAUGGCUGUUCGCCAUUUAAAGUGGUACGCGAGCUGGGUUUAGAACGUCGUGAGACAGUUCGGUCCCUAUCUGCCGUGGGCGCUGGAGAACUGAGGGGGGCUGCUCCUAGUACGAGAGGACCGGAGUGGACGCAUCACUGGUGUUCGGGUUGUCAUGCCAAUGGCACUGCCCGGUAGCUAAAUGCGGAAGAGAUAAGUGCUGAAAGCAUCUAAGCACGAAACUUGCCCCGAGAUGAGUUCUCCCUGACUCCUUGAGAGUCCUGAAGGAACGUUGAAGACGACGACGUUGAUAGGCCGGGUGUGUAAGCGCAGCGAUGCGUUGAGCUAACCGGUACUAAUGAACCGUGAGGCUUAACCUUACAACGCCGAAG